This 118-nucleotide ribosomal RNA is filed under the name Pteropus alecto (black flying fox). Lineage: Eukaryota; Metazoa; Chordata; Mammalia; Chiroptera; Pteropodidae. The record is from RNAcentral.
GUCUAUGGCCAUGCCAUCCUGAACGUGCCCGAUCUUGUCUGAUCUCAGAAGGAAGCAGAGUUGGGCCUGGUUAGUACUUGAAUGGGAGACCACCUCGGAAUACCAGGUGCUGACAACC